RNAcentral lists this transfer RNA (74 nucleotides) under Actinomadura kijaniata. RNAcentral's name for it is "tRNA-Leu". It matches the Rfam family "tRNA". From Rfam's summary of the family: Transfer RNA (tRNA) molecules are approximately 80 nucleotides in length. Their secondary structure includes four short double-helical elements and three loops (D, anti-codon, and T loops). The record is from RNAcentral. Lineage: Bacteria; Bacillati; Actinomycetota; Actinomycetes; Streptosporangiales; Thermomonosporaceae.
GCCCCGAUACUCCAACCGGCAGAGAGGGCGGCCUCAAAAGUCGCAAAGUGUGGGUUCGAAUCCCACUCGGGGCA